This 839-nucleotide ribosomal RNA is filed under the name Escherichia coli. RNAcentral describes it as "partial 23S ribosomal RNA". It matches the Rfam family "Bacterial large subunit ribosomal RNA", at positions 419 to 1258 of the family's 2925-position model. Lineage: Bacteria; Pseudomonadati; Pseudomonadota; Gammaproteobacteria; Enterobacterales; Enterobacteriaceae. The record is from RNAcentral.
GGGACACGUGGUAUCCUGUCUGAAUAUGGGGGGACCAUCCUCCAAGGCUAAAUACUCCUGACUGACCGAUAGUGAACCAGUACCGUGAGGGAAAGGCGAAAAGAACCCCGGCGAGGGGAGUGAAAAAGAACCUGAAACCGUGUACGUACAAGCAGUGGGAGCACGCUUAGGCGUGUGACUGCGUACCUUUUGUAUAAUGGGUCAGCGACUUAUAUUCUGUAGCAAGGUUAACCGAAUAGGGGAGCCGAAGGGAAACCGAGUCUUAACUGGGCGUUAAGUUGCAGGGUAUAGACCCGAAACCCGGUGAUCUAGCCAUGGGCAGGUUGAAGGUUGGGUAACACUAACUGGAGGACCGAACCGACUAAUGUUGAAAAAUUAGCGGAUGACUUGUGGCUGGGGGUGAAAGGCCAAUCAAACCGGGAGAUAGCUGGUUCUCCCCGAAAGCUAUUUAGGUAGCGCCUCGUGAAUUCAUCUCCGGGGGUAGAGCACUGUUUCGGCAAGGGGGUCAUCCCGACUUACCAACCCGAUGCAAACUGCGAAUACCGGAGAAUGUUAUCACGGGAGACACACGGCGGGUGCUAACGUCCGUCGUGAAGAGGGAAACAACCCAGACCGCCAGCUAAGGUCCCAAAGUCAUGGUUAAGUGGGAAACGAUGUGGGAAGGCCCAGACAGCCAGGAUGUUGGCUUAGAAGCAGCCAUCAUUUAAAGAAAGCGUAAUAGCUCACUGGUCGAGUCGGCCUGCGCGGAAGAUGUAACGGGGCUAAACCAUGCACCGAAGCUGCGGCAGCGACACUAUGUGUUGUUGGGUAGGGGAGCGUUCUGUAAGCCUGUGAAGGUG